AGAGUUUGAUCAUGGCUCAGGACGAACGCUGGCGGCGUGCCUCAAACAUGCAAGUCGAGCGAGGGGAGACCGAACCGCAAGGGGAGGUUGAACCUAGCGGCGAACGGGUGAGUAACACGUGGGCAACCUGCCCUUAAGACUGGGAUAACGGCUCGAAAGGGCCGCUAAUACCGGAUAAUGUCGUAAAGUCGCAUGGCUUUGCGAAGAAAGGGGAAACCCGCUUUUGGAUGGGCCCGCGUCCCAUCAGCUAGUUGGUAGGGUAAUGGCCUACCAAGGCGACGACGGGUAGCCGGUCUGAGAGGAUGGACGGCCACACUGGGACUGAGAUACGGCCCAGACUCCUACGGGAGGCAGCAGUUGGGAAUAUUGGGCAAUGGGCGAAAGCCUGACCCAGCGACGCCGCGUGAGGGAAGAAGGCCUUCGGGUCGUAAACCUCUGUCAUUGGGGACGAAGGAAGUGACGGUACCCAAGGAGGAAGCCCCUGCUAACUACGUGCCAGCAGCCGCGGUAAUACGUAGGGGGCUAGCGUUGUCCGGAGUUACUGGGCGUAAAGGGCGUGUAGGCGGCUUGUUAAGUCAGGUGUGAAAUUCCAGGGCUUAACUCUGGAACUGCGCUUGAAACUGGCGGGCUAGAGGACAGGAGAGGGAAGUGGAAUUCCCGGUGUAGCGGUGAAAUGCGUAGACAUCGGGAGGAACACCAGUGGCGAAGGCGGCUUCCUGGACUGUACCUGACGCUGAGGCGCGAAAGCUAGGGGAGCAAACAGGAUUAGAUACCCUGGUAGUCCUAGCCGUAAACGAUGAGUGCUAGGUGUGGAGGGUUGAAAUCCCUCCGUGCCGGAGUUAACACAAUAAGCACUCCGCCUGGGGAGUACGGCCGCAAGGCUAAAACUCAAAUGAAUUGACGG
RNAcentral lists this ribosomal RNA (904 nucleotides) under uncultured bacterium. RNAcentral's name for it is "bacterial SSU rRNA". It matches the Rfam family "Bacterial small subunit ribosomal RNA", at positions 8 to 916 of the family's 1533-position model. The record is from RNAcentral.